This 89-nucleotide transfer RNA is filed under the name Caudoviricetes sp. RNAcentral's name for it is "tRNA-Ser". It matches the Rfam family "tRNA". Rfam says of the family: Transfer RNA (tRNA) molecules are approximately 80 nucleotides in length. Their secondary structure includes four short double-helical elements and three loops (D, anti-codon, and T loops). Further hydrogen bonds mediate the characteristic L-shaped molecular structure. tRNAs have two regions of fundamental functional importance: the anti-codon, which is responsible for specific mRNA codon recognition, and the 3' end, to which the tRNAs corresponding amino acid is attached (by aminoacyl-tRNA synthetases). tRNAs cope with the degeneracy of the genetic code in two manners: having more than one tRNA (with a specific anti-codon) for a particular amino acid; and 'wobble' base-pairing, i.e. permitting non-standard base-pairing at the 3rd anti-codon position. The record is from RNAcentral. Lineage: Duplodnaviria; Heunggongvirae; Uroviricota; Caudoviricetes.
GGAAGGGUGGCAGAGUGGUUGAAUGCGCCGGAUUUGAAACCCGGUAAACCUUAAAAGUUUCGUGGGUUCAAAUCCCACCCCUUCCGCCA